Molecule: ribosomal RNA, 621 nt
Filed under: Trichoderma harzianum
Lineage: Eukaryota; Fungi; Ascomycota; Sordariomycetes; Hypocreales; Hypocreaceae
Description: eukaryotic LSU rRNA
Rfam family: 5.8S ribosomal RNA (bases 252-405)
Source: RNAcentral
UAGAAGUCGUAACAAGGUCUCCGUUGGUGAACCAGCGGAGGGAUCAUUACCGAGUUUACAACUCCCAAACCCAAUGUGAACGUUACCAAACUGUUGCCUCGGCGGGAUCUCUGCCCCGGGUGCGUCGCAGCCCCGGACCAAGGCGCCCGCCGGAGGACCAACCAAAACUCUUAUUGUAUACCCCCUCGCGGGUUUUUUUUAUAAUCUGAGCCUUCUCGGCGCCUCUCGUAGGCGUUUCGAAAAUGAAUCAAAACUUUCAACAACGGAUCUCUUGGUUCUGGCAUCGAUGAAGAACGCAGCGAAAUGCGAUAAGUAAUGUGAAUUGCAGAAUUCAGUGAAUCAUCGAAUCUUUGAACGCACAUUGCGCCCGCCAGUAUUCUGGCGGGCAUGCCUGUCCGAGCGUCAUUUCAACCCUCGAACCCCUCCGGGGGGUCGGCGUUGGGGAUCGGCCCUGCCUUGGCGGUGGCCGUCUCCGAAAUACAGUGGCGGUCUCGCCGCAGCCUCUCCUGCGCAGUAGUUUGCACACUCGCAUCGGGAGCGCGGCGCGUCCACAGCCGUUAAACACCCAACUUCUGUAAUGUUGACCUCGGAUGAGGUAGGAAUACCCGCUGUACUUAAGCC